Molecule: ribosomal RNA, 430 nt
Filed under: Pseudomonadota bacterium
Lineage: Bacteria; Pseudomonadati; Pseudomonadota
Description: Proteobacteria bacterium partial 16S ribosomal RNA
Rfam family: Bacterial small subunit ribosomal RNA
Source: RNAcentral
UGGGGAAUAUUGGACAAUGGGCGGAAGCCUGAUCCAGCCAUGCCGCGUGUGUGAAGAAGGCCUUUUGGUUGUAAAGCACUUUAAGCGAGGAGGAGGCUACUAGUACUAAUACUACUGGAUAGUGGACGUUACUCGCAGAAUAAGCACCGGCUAACUCUGUGCCAGCAGCCGCGGUAAUACAGAGGGUGCGAGCGUUAAUCGGAUUUACUGGGCGUAAAGCGUGCGUAGGCGGCUGAUUAAGUCGGAUGUGAAAUCCCUGAGCUUAACUUAGGAAUUGCAUUCGAUACUGGUCAGCUAGAGUAUGGGAGAGGAUGGUAGAAUUCCAGGUGUAGCGGUGAAAUGCGUAGAGAUCUGGAGGAAUACCGAUGGCGAAGGCAGCCAUCUGGCAUAAUACUGACGCUGAGGUACGAAAGCAUGGGGAGCAAACAGG